RNAcentral lists this ribosomal RNA (1401 nucleotides) under uncultured bacterium. RNAcentral describes it as "16S ribosomal RNA". It matches the Rfam family "Bacterial small subunit ribosomal RNA". The record is from RNAcentral.
AGAGUUUGAUCCUGGCUCAGGAUGAACGCUAGCGGCAGGCUUAACACAUGCAAGUCGAGGGGCAGCGGGGAGGAAGCUUGCUUUCUCCGCCGGCGACCGGCGCACGGGUGAGUAACACGUAUGCAACCUGCCCCUGUCAGGGGGACAACCCGCCGAAAGGCGGGCUAAACCCGCGUACAUGCCACCGGGGCAUCCCGGAGGCAGGAAAGGCUUCGGCCGGACAGGGAUGGGCAUGCGGCGCAUUAGGCAGUAGGCGGGGUAACGGCCCACCUAACCGACGAUGCGUAGGGGUUCUGAGAGGAAGGUCCCCCACACUGGUACUGAGACACGGACCAGACUCCUACGGGAGGCAGCAGUGAGGAAUAUUGGUCAAUGGUCGGGAGACUGAACCAGCCAAGCCGCGUGAGGGAGGAAGGUACAGAGUAUCGUAAACCUCUUUUGUCAGGGAACAAAGGCGGGGACGUGUCCCCGGAUGAGUGUACCUGAAGAAAAAGCAUCGGCUAACUCCGUGCCAGCAGCCGCGGUAAUACGGAGGAUGCGAGCGUUAUCCGGAUUUAUUGGGUUUAAAGGGUGCGCAGGCGGUCUGUUAAGUCAGCGGUCAAAGCCCGGGGCUCAACCCCGGCCCGCCGUUGAAACUGGCAGUCUCGAGUUGGAGAGAAGUAUGCGGAAUGCGCGGUGUAGCGGUGAAAUGCAUAGAUAUCGCGCAGAACUCCGAUUGCGAAGGCAGCAUGCCGGCUCCACACUGACGCUGAGGCACGAAAGCGUGGGUAUCGAACAGGAUUAGAUACCCUGUAGCCCACGCAGUAAACGAUGAAUGCUGGCUGUCCGGGGGGACUGACCCCUGGGUGGCGAAGCGAAAGCGAUAAGCAUUCCACCUGGGGAGUACGCCGGCAACGGUGAAACUCAAAGGAAUUGACGGGGGCCCGCACAAGCGGAGGAACAUGUGGUUUAAUUCGAUGAUACGCGAGGAACCUUACCCGGGCUCAAACGGGGAGUGGCGCAGGCAGAGACGCCUGUUUCCCACGGGACACUCCCCGAGGUGCUGCAUGGUUGUCGUCAGCUCGUGCCGUGAGGUGUCGGCUUAAGUGCCAUAACGAGCGCAACCCCCGCGUGCAGUUGCUAACAGUCAACGCUGAGGACUCUGCACGGACUGCCGGCGCAAGCCGCGAGGAAGGCGGGGAUGACGUCAAAUCAGCACGGCCCUUACGUCCGGGGCGACACACGUGUUACAAUGGGUGGUACAGCGGGAAGCCAGGCGGCGACGCCGAGCGGAACCCGAAAUCCACUCUCAGUUCGGAUCGGAGUCUGCAACCCGACUCCGUGAAGCUGGAUUCGCUAGUAAUCGCGCAUCAGCCAUGGCGCGGUGAAUACGUUCCCGGGCCUUGCACUCACCGCCCGUCA